This 559-nucleotide ribosomal RNA is filed under the name uncultured Nitrosopumilales archaeon. RNAcentral's name for it is "bacterial SSU rRNA". It matches the Rfam family "Archaeal small subunit ribosomal RNA", at positions 319 to 879 of the family's 1478-position model. The record is from RNAcentral. Lineage: Archaea; Thermoproteati; Nitrososphaerota; Nitrososphaeria; Nitrosopumilales.
GGCCCUAUGGGGCGCAGCAGGCGAGAAAACUUUGCAAUGUGCGAAAGCACGACAAGGUUAAUCCGAGUGGUUUCUGCUAAAGGAACCUUUUGUCGGUCCUAGAAACACCGAUGAAUAAGGGGUGGGCAAGUUCUGGUGUCAGCCGCCGCGGUAAAACCAGCACCUCAAGUGGUCAGGAUGAUUAUUGGGCCUAAAGCAUCCGUAGCCGGCUCUGUAAGCUUUCGGUUAAAUCUGUACGCUCAACGUACAGGCUGCCGGGAAUACUGCAGAGCUAGGGAGUGGGAGAGGUAGACGGUACUCGGUAGGAAGGGGUAAAAUCCUUUGAUCUAUUGAUGACCACCUGUGGCGAAGGCGGUCUACCAGAACACGUCCGACGGUGAGGGAUGAAAGCUGGGGGAGCAAACCGGAUUAGAUACCCGGGUAGUCCCAGCUGUAAACUAUGCAAACUCAGUGAUGCAUUGACUUGUGGUCAAUGCAGUGCUGCAGGGAAGCCGUUAAGUUUGCCGCCUGGGAAGUACGUACGCAAGUAUGAAACUUAAAGGAAUUGGCGGGGGAGCAC